Molecule: ribosomal RNA, 492 nt
Filed under: uncultured bacterium
Lineage: Bacteria
Description: partial 16S ribosomal RNA
Rfam family: Bacterial small subunit ribosomal RNA
Source: RNAcentral
AGUGAACGCUGGCGGUAGGCCUAACACAUGCAAGUCGAACGGCAGCACAGUAAGAGCUUGCUCUUACGGGUGGCGAGUGGCGGACGGGUGAGGAAUACAUCGGAAUCUACUUUUUCGUGGGGGAUAACGUGGGGAAACUUACGCUAAUACCGCAUACGGCCUACGGGUGGAAGCAGGGGAUCUUCGGACCUUGCGCGAUUGAAUGAGCCGAUGUCGGAUUAGCUAGUUGGCGGGGUAAAGGCCCACCAAGGCGACGAUCCGUAGCUGGUCUGAGAGGAUGAUCAGCCACACUGGAACUGAGACACGGUCCAGACUCCUACGGGAGGCAGCAGUGGGGAAUAUUGGACAAUGGGCGCAAGCCUGAUCCAGCCAUACCGCGUGUGUGAAGAAGGCCUUCGGGUUGUAAAGCCCUUUUGUUGGGAAAGAAAAGCAGCAGGUUAAUACCCCGCUGUUCUGACGGUACCCAAAGAAUAAGCACCGGCUAACUUCGUG